Molecule: non-coding RNA, 712 nt
Organism: Nicotiana tabacum (common tobacco)
Lineage: Eukaryota; Viridiplantae; Streptophyta; Magnoliopsida; Solanales; Solanaceae
Source: RefSeq, a predicted model, not a curated record
CAACAAUACAAAGAAAGGACCCCCCACGUCGUCUUCUUUUCCAAGGGACCUAGACCAGAAGCAACACCGAGAACACCCAAAACCAGACCCACCAGCGAACAAUCAACGACCAACCCUCACACACCUUGAUAUCUGCCGUCCAUUUCCACCCAAAUACGCCAGACAUCAUAUCUCAAACCUUCCAACGAUCUUCCAUUGAAUCCGACGAGCUCAGCCAAAACCGGCGACGACUACUGCUCUUCUUUCUUCGUCGUUUUUCUCUUUUCUCUGUCACUGCUGCAUCGGAGGGUGCCAUAUCUGGCAAGAAAUACGGCGGACAACCAAACAGUAGCCAAAGAUCAAACUCCAGCCCACCCAAAAAAACAAAAAAGGUAGUCAGACUCCAAACAAAAAAAUCACACAAGAACAACAUUAGCUUCUCUUUUUUUUUGGUCAAAAAUCAGACUUCGAUAGGCAAGUAAAAUGAAAAUGGAUUAUGCUUGAGAUCUGGUCCGCGUUCGAGGAUUUGAGGUUCCCCGUAUGUUCGAGUUUUGGUCUACGAAUUCCUGUUGGCUUAUUCCGAUUUUUCGCGAGUCCCGGCGUCAGGUUUUGCUAGUGUUUCCAAACGGAUAAUCGUUAAAGGUUGCUGAAGGUUUUACCUCAAGGCACGGUGUUCGAGACGAUCAAAACAAGUAGUCUCAAUCCAGAAUAAAAGAAAAAAAGAAAAAAAAAA